This 69-nucleotide transfer RNA is filed under the name Ictidomys tridecemlineatus (thirteen-lined ground squirrel). RNAcentral describes it as "Spermophilus tridecemlineatus (thirteen-lined ground squirrel) tRNA". It matches the Rfam family "tRNA". Rfam says of the family: Transfer RNA (tRNA) molecules are approximately 80 nucleotides in length. Their secondary structure includes four short double-helical elements and three loops (D, anti-codon, and T loops). The record is from Rfam by way of RNAcentral. Lineage: Eukaryota; Metazoa; Chordata; Mammalia; Rodentia; Sciuridae.
GGGCUUGUGGCUCAGUGAUAGAGCACUUGCCUAGCAUGCAUGAGGCACUGGGUUUGAUUCUCAGCACCA